GGGGGGUACAGAAGGCAGCUACACGGCGACGUGAUGCUAAUCCCAAAAACCUCUCUCAGUUCGGAUCGAAGUCUGCAACCCGACUUCGUGAAGCUGGAUUCGCUAGUAAUCGCGCAUCAGCCAUGGCGCGGUGAAUACGUUCCCGGGCCUUGUACACACCGCCCGUCAAGCCAUGAAAGCCGGGGGUACCUGAAGUACGUAACCGCAAGGAGCGUCCUAGGGUAAAACUGGUAAUUGGGGCUAAGUCGUAACAAGGUAGCCGUACCGGAAGGUGCGGCUGGAACACCUCCUUUCUGGAGC
Molecule: ribosomal RNA, 300 nt
Filed under: Bacteroides sp. AF26-7BH
Lineage: Bacteria; Pseudomonadati; Bacteroidota; Bacteroidia; Bacteroidales; Bacteroidaceae
Description: partial 16S ribosomal RNA
Rfam family: Bacterial small subunit ribosomal RNA
Source: RNAcentral